Molecule: transfer RNA, 73 nt
Filed under: Candidatus Altarchaeales archaeon
Lineage: Archaea; Nanobdellati; Candidatus Altarchaeota; Candidatus Altarchaeia; Candidatus Altarchaeales
Description: Candidatus Altiarchaeales archaeon tRNA-Arg
Rfam family: tRNA
About the family: Transfer RNA (tRNA) molecules are approximately 80 nucleotides in length.
Source: RNAcentral
GCCCACGUGGGGUAGUGGAUUAUCCUGAGGGACUGCGGAUCCCUCAACCCGGGUUCAAAUCCCGGCGUGGGCA